AUGUGUCUGCCUGUUUCGUGUGUAUGUGUGUGCGUGUCUGACUAUGUGCAUGUCUCUGUGUGUGUGUGUGUGUGUGGUGUUUAGGGGAUACCUCCUGUGUUGCUGGAUAUUAUGAUUUUUUUUCAUCCCCAGAAGGGAAUACACAUCUGGACCCUCUUUGCACAUCACAUGGGAAAUGAUGUCUGGCCCAGCGCUGGCCUCUGUGAUUACAGAGUUAAUGCCUUUCCCACAGAGCCUGCACCAUCAGUUUCGUGCUGUGUCCCCACCUCUCAACACUCCGGGCAAGGUUCAAACCAAGUUUCUGAAUGUUUACAAGGAAAGAAAGAUAACGCUGUGACUCUUGUGAAGGUUGACCACAUAAACACUGGCCUUUCCUGAAGACUACCUGAACUAUCUUGAAAUUGUGAUACCCAGAGGGUGUCACAGCCCCAAGACUGGAAAGUGGGAUGUUUGAGGAGCUGAACCGCCCCGGAGAAUCCCUUCUGUUUCACCACAAAAGAAAGCUUGAGGACGUGCGUCUUCUCUGGAACUCCUGCCUCAGGAUCUGAGAUGAACAGUCUGGAAAAAGAUGUCUCAUCACCCAUUGGCUCCCUCAAGGUGAUCUUCACACCUCCCUUGUCUGUGCUUCCUUCUUCCCCAUGCCCUUUGGGUCCUCUGGGUUUCUUUAUGGGUUCCUUCUCAGAAGAAUGCUUCUAUUGUCUGUCAUUUUACUUUAGAGAGCGCACACCCCAUUCUUUGCUAAUAUGAUCCCUUCUUCUAACAUCAUCCUCCUGCCCUCACCUGUCCCAGGCUUCCCUCUCUUUCCCCUCUUCUCCAUCUCUGGAGAAGCCACUGGGAAAUGGCAUCUUGCCUUUGACCUUCUUUGUGCUGAUUCUUUCAAAGAAAGAACCACCUCAUGAUGUCUUGUCUUCUAACCAUUUCUGCUUGUCUUUUGUGGGACCCAUACUUUUCCUACUGGUGCUUUAAUUUUCUAAAUUUUUUAAGUGAAAAAGAAUAAAAGUUGUGUGAUUUCUAAAGCUGACUUAUCCUCCUAAAGGGGAUUCCCUCUGGCCUCUCUUGAUCUCUCUUCUCAGCAACUUCCUUGAUCUCUCUUAUCGUCAACCACUUGCUUUCAAUAAACAUCAUUUUUGGAAGCCCCCAUUGUCUGGUAGGGUUCCAGCUUUCCGACAGUCUCCUAGGGGAUCCACUUGUGUCAUGCCUGUGUUCUUCAGCCACUUGCAGUUAUCUGGGGUCAGUCAGUCCCCAGGAGGAGAGUGGAUUGGGCUGGCACAGCCCCCAACCUUAAGGAAGUUUAUGUUCUUAUGACUUGACUUCCUCUCAAGGACUAAGCUCUUGGACCAAUUGAAUAUCAAGGUUGCCAUGUGAUGCUGAUUCUUUUGGUUGGCAGAGUAAUCAAUUGAAGUUUUUAAAUGCAUUUUCCUCCAUGCUGUUUGCAAUUUUUCAUCUUUUGGUUCUUCAAUAAAUUUGUACUGAGGACCUACUAUGUUCCUGGUGCUGAGCUUAGACCCAGGGGUUGAUCUGGGAGCAAAGUCAUCCCUGCUCUCCUAGAGCCUGUGGUCGAGUGGGGAAGAAGGAUGAGUCAGUCAAAUAAUUAUGUUGAAAUGUGUAAAAUUUCAGCCAUGAAUAUGUUUGAAGGAGAGGCACAUAGGGCUGUGAAAGCAUGUACCAGCAGACCUCAGAGAUAUUGCAGGUUUGGGUCCAGGCCACUCAAGUAAAGUGAAUAUCUCAAUAAAGCAAGUCAUGUCAGUUUUUUGGUUUCCCAAUGCAUAUAAAAGUUAUAUUUGCACUAUACUGUAGCCUAUUAAGAAUCCAAUAACAUUACACCUUUUAAAAAAAGUGUACAUAUGUUAAUUAAAAAAUGUAUUUUUUUGUUGGUGAAAAACACUAAUCAUCAUCUGAGCCUUUCAGCAAGCCACAAUCUUUUUUGUAACAGUAAUAUCAAAGAUUACUGAUCACAGAUCACCAUAGCCAGUAUAAUAAUAAUGAAAAAGUUUGAAAUGUAAGAAUUAUCAAAAUGUGACACAGAGGAAAGAAAUGAGCAAAUGCUGUUGGAAAAAUGGCACCCUUAGACUUCAGCCAUACAGGAUUGCCACAAAUUUGUAAAAAAAAAAAAAAAAGACAAUAAAACAAAGUGUGCCUGUAAUGCAAAGGGAUGGUGUGUUCUGGGUAAGUGGCUCUCCAAGCCUGGUCCCUGGACCAUCAGCCUCAGCAUAACCUAGGAUCUUGUUAGAAAUAUACAUUCUCAGUUCCCACCACAGACCCGCUGGAUUAGAAACUCUAGGAACGGAGUUCAGGUCCUGUUUUCAGACACGUUCAGGACACUGUGAUACACAAGUUAGAGAACUCUUGCUCCAGAUGGUCAAAGUCAGCUUCUCUGAAGCAAUAACUUCUGAAUUACGAAGAAAAACUAGGCAGUAGGGUAGGAUGGGGAAAGUCUUUCAGACAGAAAGAAUGGCAUGUGUAGAAGUCCGAUCGUGAGAUCAGGGAGCUCCUGAAAACAGGAAGAUGUGCCAUAAAGGAAGAAGAGAAUGGAGAAGGUGAGUAUGGACAAGAUGCCUGGGGCCAGGAAAUGCUGGUCAUUUGCAAGGGAUUGGGCAAUAGAGAGCUUCUGGUACACUCGGAACUCAAGGAUGGUGUGAUCUCACUUACUGGGCAAUACAAAGCCUCUGGUAUGCUAGGAACUCAAGGAUGGCAUGAUCUCACUUGCUUUUAUCUAAGGAAUAAUUCUAGCUACAGUGUAGAGAAAGGAUUGAAGAGGAGCAAGAGUAGACCUGCUGGAGAUUGUCUCAGGAAUCAGGGGAAAGCUGAUGGUGGUUUCUGGAAGGAUGAAUGAAGGACACAGAUUCACAAGAUUAUUAGGUAAUGCCCACAGGUCUCGGUCGUCAACUAGACGUGUCCAAGAAUGAGUCUGGUGUUUUGGGUUUACGUGCAAGAUGGAGGAGGAUGCCAAGCUUGGCAGUGGGAAGAGACCAUGAGGCAUUCCUAUUGUGUUCGAUGAGCCUUUGAGCCACCUGUGUGCAGGUAUCAAUUAGAUGGUAGAAGGUGUGGGUCUGGAGCUCCUAGGAGAGGUCAGGGCUGACAGCACAUCUUGGUGAGUCAUUGAAAACUAAGCAACCAUUGAUAAGAUCACCCAGGAGAAGGAAUGUAAUGAAGAGAAGAAAGCCAGAAUACAUACUGGGGAACUUCAGCAUUCUUGUUGACUGGUCAGGAAGAGUCGGGAUGACCCCCAUACACCUGGUUUAGUGUAAAGAGUAGAGAGAAGGAAGAAGACUGGAAGCCAGGAGAAUCGUGUGUCACAGAAGCCAAGGGAGAGUUCCCAGGAGGGAGCGCUCAGUGACGGUGAAGAGCAUACGGCAAGAGGCGGCUGAAGGAUGCUUGUGGAUUAGGUGACUUGGAAGGUCAUUUGUGGUUUUAGCAAGAGCUAUUUCAGUGGAGUGCAAGAGAGCAGAAGCUAGAGUGCAGUGGAAUAAGAAAUUAAAGGUAAGGAAAUGGAUAAAGUGAGGACUAUAGACAGCUUUUUGGAAAUGGUUGUAAAGAGGAGGGUAUCGGUGGAUGGGAGAUGUGGAGUCAAGAAGAUUGUCCUGGUUUGUUUGAUUUUUGAGUUGCAAGUGCUUCUCACAUGUCAAACCCUAAGGACUUCAUUGAAAGGGAACAGUUGAAUAAAAGAGAUGGAGCCAACCGAGGUUAACAAGAACCAAGAUCCUAAACAGAUGGGAGAGCACAGAGGCUCUCGGAUUCUGGAGUCCCCACUCUAGCCUGGAUUUUUCUGAACCUCUGUGACCUUCCCAAGGCCGGAUCCCCUGACCUCGAAUACCCGCCACCCCUCCCUUUCUUGGCAUUCUCCUCCUGCUGACUUGCCUGCCCACAGCCCCUUUCCUGCAGCCCACUCAAUUGUUUUGUCUGCUUUGUUCACCCACUGUUAAGUUAUUAACUUGUCAGGGUCUAGACUCCCCACUUCCUUUCCCACUUUGAACCCACUCUUGGCUCCCUUCCCAUUCACUGCCUCGGAAAGUCAGCACUAGGCAGGCCUGGAUUGCUUGGCGGGUCAUUACUGGCGUGCACACAGAAGUACAGUUAAUAUAAUUGGUAUAAGAUGGUAAAGCCUUUUUAAAGACCUUGAUGCAACUGAAAAAAAAACAUAAAAUACAACCAUCUCUCCAUUAUCUUAGCAGUGGAGGCAAAUGGUGAACUUAAAGUAGACUUUAUUCAAAGUAAUUUCUCCAAGAGGACUCGAUUUUAAAGGGUCACCUGUAAACAUAUUAAAGACCAUCAGAUUUUACAUGUUAAUUCAUGGAUUCAAUAAGGGUCAAAAAUGACAUUUCCUUAGUUUUUAAAGCAGACACAGAUAGGUAAGUUUUAAUAUAAGUGUUGCUACUCUGAGGUAAGCAAACUUUGUCUAAGAUUCUUGAGAGAAAUUUGCAGCAGUUCCUUAGAAUUGAGUGGUUUUAUCAUUACCCAGCACUUUCGAAAUCAUGGAAUAACUUAAAUGGGAUCUGAUGGACAAAGACACAGACUGUUUCCUAGUCAUCGGCCUACAUACUGCUGAAAAUGAUUUGUUGUCUAAGAAUAAAUAUCACAGAGAAACAA
Cervus elaphus (red deer) is the source of this 4587-nucleotide long non-coding RNA. RefSeq lists it as uncharacterized. The transcript is spliced from 3 exons. Lineage: Eukaryota; Metazoa; Chordata; Mammalia; Artiodactyla; Cervidae. The record is from RefSeq and is a predicted model, not a curated record.